RNAcentral lists this ribosomal RNA (476 nucleotides) under uncultured bacterium. Its description in RNAcentral is "bacterial SSU rRNA". It matches the Rfam family "Bacterial small subunit ribosomal RNA", at positions 32 to 507 of the family's 1533-position model. The record is from RNAcentral.
AACGCUGGCGGCGUGCCUAACACAUGCAAGUCAACUUGACUGAAGGAGCAAUCUGACAGUAGAGUGGCGCAAGGGUGCGUAACGCGUAAGUAACUUGCCCCAAGGUAAGGAAUAACGUCGAGAAAUCGGCGCUAAUACCUCACAAUGCAGCGGAUCCGCAUGGAUAUGUUGUUAAAGGUUUACCGCCUUGGGAUAGGCUUGCGUCUGAUUAGCUAGUUGGUGUGGUAACGGCACACCAAGGCUACGAUCAGUAACUGGUCUGAGAGGAUGAUCAGUCACACUGGAACUGAGACACGGUCCAGACUCCUACGGGAGGCAGCAGUGAGGAAUAUUGGGCAAUGCUCGAAAGAGUGACCCAGCAACGCCGCGUGGAGGAUGAAGGUAUUCUAUAUCGUAAACUCCUGUGAGAGCAGACGAAAGACAGAUUAUUAAUCUGGAUGACUGUAUGCUCAGAGGAAGCCCCGGCUAACUACGUG